This 101-nucleotide Y RNA is filed under the name Carlito syrichta (Philippine tarsier). RNAcentral's name for it is "Y RNA (ENSTSYG00000035336.1)". It matches the Rfam family "Y RNA". From Rfam's summary of the family: Y RNAs are components of the Ro ribonucleoprotein particle (Ro RNP), in association with Ro60 and La proteins. The Y RNAs and Ro60 and La proteins are well conserved, but the function of the Ro RNP is not known. Lineage: Eukaryota; Metazoa; Chordata; Mammalia; Primates; Tarsiidae. The record is from Rfam by way of RNAcentral.
GGCUGGUCUGAGUGCAGUGUCGUUUACAACCAAUUGAUCACAACCAGUUACAGAUUUCUUUGUUCCUUCUCCACUCCCAUGGCUUCACUGGCUGGCCUUAA